Molecule: transfer RNA, 74 nt
Filed under: Mayetiola destructor (Hessian fly)
Lineage: Eukaryota; Metazoa; Arthropoda; Insecta; Diptera; Cecidomyiidae
Description: tRNA-Arg for anticodon ACG
Rfam family: tRNA
About the family: Transfer RNA (tRNA) molecules are approximately 80 nucleotides in length.
Source: RNAcentral
GGUCCCGUGGCCAAAUUGGAUAAGGCGCUUGACUACGGAUCAAGAGAUUGUCGGUUCGAGUCCGAUCGGGAUCG